GUAGGUGAACCUGCGGAAGGAUCAUUAUUGAAAUAAACCUGAUGGGUUGCUGCUGGCUCUCUAGGGGGCAUGUGCACGCCUUGUCAUCUUUAUAUCUCCACCUGUGCACUUUUUGUAGACCUUUCGGGUCUAUGUUGCUUCAUUUACCCCAAUGUAUGUUAAUAGAAUGUUUUGACUAUAUAAUAUAUACAACUUUCAGCAACGGAUCUCUUGGCUCUC
Molecule: unclassified non-coding RNA, 219 nt
Filed under: rhizosphere metagenome
Description: partial ribosomal RNA internal transcribed spacer region
Source: RNAcentral